GCUUCUAAAGGAUAACAGUUAUCCAUUGGUCUUAGGAACCAAAAACUCUUGGUGCAAAUCCAAGUAGCAGCU
Molecule: transfer RNA, 72 nt
Filed under: Hypancistrus zebra
Lineage: Eukaryota; Metazoa; Chordata; Actinopteri; Siluriformes; Loricariidae
Description: tRNA-Leu
Rfam family: tRNA
About the family: Transfer RNA (tRNA) molecules are approximately 80 nucleotides in length. Their secondary structure includes four short double-helical elements and three loops (D, anti-codon, and T loops). Further hydrogen bonds mediate the characteristic L-shaped molecular structure. tRNAs have two regions of fundamental functional importance: the anti-codon, which is responsible for specific mRNA codon recognition, and the 3' end, to which the tRNAs corresponding amino acid is attached (by aminoacyl-tRNA synthetases). tRNAs cope with the degeneracy of the genetic code in two manners: having more than one tRNA (with a specific anti-codon) for a particular amino acid; and 'wobble' base-pairing, i.e. permitting non-standard base-pairing at the 3rd anti-codon position.
Source: RNAcentral